This is a long non-coding RNA of Daphnia magna, 1521 nucleotides long. RefSeq lists it as uncharacterized. The record is from RefSeq and is a predicted model, not a curated record. The transcript has 3 exons. Lineage: Eukaryota; Metazoa; Arthropoda; Branchiopoda; Diplostraca; Daphniidae.
UAAUCAAGCAUGUUGAGAGUUUUCAAAUGAAAUUGAAUCCGGAAUUAUGCGAAAACGUAAAAUGGAACAGGGCCCACACAGCACCGGGCUGUCUUUAAGACGUCCUGAAGAUGUCCAGUUGUCCCGAGUGGGGAUGUCCAAAGGAUGUCUCUGAGCUUUCUUAAAGACUCCUUACUUGUGUCCAAAUUGACCGGGACAAGUACUAUUUUUAGGAUGUCUUUCAGAUUAGCUCAAAGACUUCCUAAAGACGUUCAUUCGCCAUCUUGCCGCCGUCUUAAAGACAUCCUUAUGACAUCUUUAACAUGUCUUCCGGCUAGCGUGAAGACUUCCUAAAGACGUUCUUACGACAUCUUGCCGCCGUCUUAAAGGCAUUCUUGUGCCGUCUUUUACAUGUCUUCCGAUAAGCCUAAAGACUUCCUCAAGAAGACCUAACGACAUUUUUCGAAAUUUACAAAGAAAUCCUUUGGUCAUCUUUCUGAUGACAUCUUAAUGAUAUCUUUAUUACUUCUUAAAGCCAUCUGUUUGUCAUCACAAAAAAAUUCUUGGCUCAGCCCAGAUAGGAAUUGUUGUUCCAUAGUGGCUCCAAAGCCAUGCCAAUGGCACUGCUGCGACGAGUUCACCCAGUAGAUGUUCCAAUCCUAAUCCCUUGAAAAAAGAAGUACUUCCGUUUUUCCGCUAUAUUUCGUUUGUCCCACGUCGAUUUCCCUAGCCCGUCCCAUUUAUUUUCUUUUGGCUCUCUAUCAACACUUAGAAAAAUUCGUUAUUAUCACGUCUUUGUUCAGCGGGGGAGAUUUGCUCACUCCCUUUUACUGUUUCGCUCACUAGAUGACUGGUUCAAUAAAUUUUGUAAGCAGUUUCUAUUAUUUUUUAGAAUAGUUUUUUAUUUGCUAUUUUUAUUAUCCUUCUUGCUGUAGAUUUCUUAUUUUUUAUUGGUAAUUUACGGGAAAAAAAUUUUACUUGACUGUUCAUCAAACAGUGCUUGGCAACGUUUACGCUUAUUCUGGACCUGGAUUGUAGCGUGUUCUGCCUCGUGUGAGAAAGCUGGAAAAGAGUAUCUCUGUUUCUUGCUUCAGUUAAUUGAUAUUUAUACUCAACAAGGACAUUCCUCAUUGGGAUAAGGGGAACUACAAAUACCAUCGUUGGAAGGGUUAUGAAAUCAAUCAUGACCUACGAGUGUGGGAGUUGUUUCUGCUAUACGGAGUUUGUGAAGUGCACAAAUCCAUGACAAGAGAUGCAGUUGAAUCGAAGAUAAAGAAUUUGUUACGUCACUGCCCAAGGUAUGCCUUCAAGAACAAUGAAGAUGGAAAAAUAAAUUGGGAAGAAGGGCUCUGACAAGAUGAUAGCGACUACUAAUUGCUGACUAAUUUAACAUUUUCUACGUAAAGUGCGAUUGUUAAUGCACUGAUUAAAUUACAUAUUUUGAGUUUCAUAUUGUAGCCUACCUGAUAAGUUAAACUAUUUUGAGUUUCAUAUUGUAAUUGAUUAAUUUAACUAUUUUGAGUUUCAAAUUGUACCUGAAGA